Molecule: ribosomal RNA, 439 nt
Filed under: uncultured bacterium
Lineage: Bacteria
Description: partial 16S ribosomal RNA
Rfam family: Bacterial small subunit ribosomal RNA
Source: RNAcentral
CUACGGGCGGCUCCAGUGGGGAAUAUUGCACAAUGGAGGAAACUCUGAUGCAGCAACGCCGCGUGGAGGAUGACACUUUUCGGAGCGUAAACUCCUUUUAUAUAGGAAGAAGAUGACGGUACUAUAUGAAUAAGCGCCGGCUAACUCCGUGCCAGCAGCCGCGGUAAUACGGAGGGCGCAAGCGUUACUCGGAAUCACUGGGCGUAAAGAGCGUGUAGGCGGAUUAAAAAGUCAGAAGUGAAAUCCUAUAGCUUAACUAUAGAACUGCUUCUGAAACUCUUAAUCUAGAAUAUGGGAGAGGUAGAUGGAAUUUCUGGUGUAGGGGUAAAAUCCGUAGAGAUCAGAAGGAAUACCGAUUGCGAAGGCGAUCUACUAGAACAUUAUUGACGCUGAGACGCGAAAGCGUGGGGAGCAAACGGGAUUAUAUACCCGCGUAGUC